CCCUUAGAUGUCCUGGGCCGCACGCGCGCUACACUGAACGGAUCAGCGCGUUUUCCCUUCCCGAGAGGGACGGGUAACCUGCUGAACCCCGUUCGUGGUAGGGAUCGGGGCUUGCAAUUAUUCCCCGUGAACCAGGAAUGCCCAGUAAGUGCAAGUCAUAAGCUUGCGUUGACUACGUCCCUGCCCUUUGUACACACCGCCCGUCGCUACUACCGAUUGAACGUUUUAGUGAGGUACUCGGACUGAGCCUCAGAAGAUUCACGUCUUUUGUGCUGCUCGGGAAGAUUCCCAAACUUGAGCGUUUAGAGGAAGUAAAAGUCGUAACA
RNAcentral lists this ribosomal RNA (326 nucleotides) under uncultured eukaryote. RNAcentral describes it as "partial 18S ribosomal RNA". It matches the Rfam family "Eukaryotic small subunit ribosomal RNA", at positions 1470 to 1796 of the family's 1831-position model. The record is from RNAcentral.